This 407-nucleotide ribosomal RNA is filed under the name uncultured bacterium. RNAcentral describes it as "partial 16S ribosomal RNA". It matches the Rfam family "Bacterial small subunit ribosomal RNA", at positions 30 to 526 of the family's 1533-position model. The record is from RNAcentral.
AUUGAACGCUGGCGGCAGGCCUAACACAUGCAAGUCGAGCGGAGCGGCGGACGGGUGAGUAAUGCCUAGGAAUCUGCCUGGCAGUGGGGGAUAACGUACUACAACGGGCGCUAAUAACGCAGACUAUCAGAUGAGCCUAGCGCGGAUUGGCUAGUUGGUGGGGUAAAGGACGACCAAGGCGACGAUCCGUAACUGGUCUGGGAGGAUGAGCCGUCACACUGGAACUGAGACACGGUCCAGACUCCUACGGGAGGCAGCAGUGGGGAAUAUUGGACAAUGGGCGAAAGCCUGAUCCAGCCAUGCCGCGUGUGUGAAGAAGGUCUUCGGAUUGUAAAGCACUUUAAGUUGGGAGGCGUUACCAACAGAAUAAGCACCGGCUAACUUCGUGCCAGCCGCCGCGGUAAUUC